GGUGUAGCGCAGUUGGCUAGCGCACUUGAUUUGGGAUCAAGGGGCCGGGGGUUCGAGUCCCUUCACC
Molecule: transfer RNA, 67 nt
Filed under: bovine gut metagenome
Rfam family: tRNA
About the family: Transfer RNA (tRNA) molecules are approximately 80 nucleotides in length. Their secondary structure includes four short double-helical elements and three loops (D, anti-codon, and T loops). Further hydrogen bonds mediate the characteristic L-shaped molecular structure. tRNAs have two regions of fundamental functional importance: the anti-codon, which is responsible for specific mRNA codon recognition, and the 3' end, to which the tRNAs corresponding amino acid is attached (by aminoacyl-tRNA synthetases). tRNAs cope with the degeneracy of the genetic code in two manners: having more than one tRNA (with a specific anti-codon) for a particular amino acid; and 'wobble' base-pairing, i.e. permitting non-standard base-pairing at the 3rd anti-codon position.
Source: RNAcentral